CAGUCGCCGCGGUAAUACGAAGGGUGCAAGCGUUAAUCGGAAUUACUGGGCGUAAAGCGUGCGUAGGCGGUGAGUUAAGUCAGAUGUGAAAUCCCCGAGCUUAACUUGGGAACUGCAUUUGAAACUGGCAAGCUAGAGUCUUGUAGAGGGGGGUAGAAUUCCAGGUGUAGCGGUGAAAUGCGUAGAGAUCUGGAGGAAUACCGGUGGCGAAGGCGGCCCCCUGGACAAAGACUGACGCUCAGGUGCGAAAGCGUGGGGAGCAAACAGGAUUAGAUACCCCGGUAGUCCCUGUCUCUUAUAC
Molecule: ribosomal RNA, 301 nt
Filed under: uncultured bacterium
Lineage: Bacteria
Description: partial 16S ribosomal RNA
Rfam family: Bacterial small subunit ribosomal RNA
Source: RNAcentral